UGGGGAAUAUUGCACAAUGGGCGCAAGCCUGAUGCAGCCAUGCCGCGUGUAUGAAGAAGGCCUUCGGGUUGUAAAGUACUUUCAGCGGGGAGGAAGGUGUUGUGGUUAAUAACCUCAGCAAUUGACGUUACCCGCAGAAGAAGCACCGGCUAACUCCGUGCCAGCAGCCGCGGUAAUACGGAGGGUGCAAGCGUUAAUCGGAAUUACUGGGCGUAAAGCGCACGCAGGCGGUCUGUCAAGUCGGAUGUGAAAUCCCCGGGCUCAACCUGGGAACUGCAGCCGAAACUGGCAGGCUUGAGUCUUGUAGAGGUGGGUAGAAUUCCAGGUGUAGCGGUGAAAUGCGUAGAGAUCUGGAGGAAUACCGGUGGCGAAGGCGGCCCCCUGGACAAAGACUGACGCUCAGGUGCGAAAGCGUGGGGAGCAAACA
RNAcentral lists this ribosomal RNA (427 nucleotides) under uncultured bacterium. RNAcentral's name for it is "partial 16S ribosomal RNA". It matches the Rfam family "Bacterial small subunit ribosomal RNA", at positions 355 to 774 of the family's 1533-position model. The record is from RNAcentral.